Chiroxiphia lanceolata (lance-tailed manakin) is the source of this 295-nucleotide long non-coding RNA. RefSeq lists it as uncharacterized. NCBI's taxonomy places the organism in Eukaryota, Metazoa, Chordata, Aves, Passeriformes, Pipridae. The record is from RefSeq and is a predicted model, not a curated record. The transcript has 3 exons.
ACAGCUCCCGGCAGCAAGAUCCUCCACCCACAGCCAGAGCUCAGGCAGCUCAGCAAGAUGCCUCCUAAAGCCUUUAAACUCACCGAGCUUUAUUCUCCUCCUGCUCCAAGCUGAGGCUUUGUGAUCAUUCCCUGCUCCAUAUGGUCCCUGCCAGACUGAGAAGCACAUGGAUGGCUUCAUUUUCUUCUUCCUGGUAUUAAGAACUGCUGAACAGGGACCUGUCCAUUAAAUUGGUCAUUGGUAUUCACAGUGGGAAAGGCACUGCUCCUGCAGCAGGUUCGGAAGAGCACAGGUC